RNAcentral lists this long non-coding RNA (576 nucleotides) under Triticum aestivum (bread wheat). Its description in RNAcentral is "long non-coding RNA (TAES_LNC015231)". Lineage: Eukaryota; Viridiplantae; Streptophyta; Magnoliopsida; Poales; Poaceae. The record is from RNAcentral.
UUUUGUACACGAAGUGCAUCCAGUUUUUGCCGUAACCCUCUCUACUUUCUUGCACAUGCUAUGUGGGUGAAAUGAUGAUACCAUGCCAACUUUCAACCUUUUCAGAGUUCNNNNNNNNNNAAUAACAAAUGAAGUCAGAAAGGAUUGAGAAUGGAUGAUGUGGUUUUGAAUGGUGCAUUUUGAACACAGAAAAACUAUGGACUUCAAAUAAGUUCAAAAAAUGAAAUCCCUUUGUAACAGACGUGUUUCCGUAUGAAACCCUGAUACUUCGAAAGAGAUUGUCCGUUUUGUACACGAAGUGCAUCCAGUUUUUGCCGUAAUCCUCUAUACUUUCUUGCACAUGCUAUGUGGGUGAAAUGAUGAUACCAUGCCAAUUUUAACCUUUUCAGAGUUCAUUUGAAAUGCUUUUCAAUAUCAGGGUCUUAUAGAUCAAAAUAAUCAAUAAAUGCAUGAUAAAUAACAAAUGAAGUCAGAAAGGGUUGAAAAUUGAUGAUGUGGCUUUGAAUGGUGCAUUUUGAACACAGAAAAACUAUGGACUUCAAAUAAGUUCAAAAAAAUGAAAUCCCUUUGUAACAG